Odocoileus virginianus texanus is the source of this 642-nucleotide non-coding RNA. Lineage: Eukaryota; Metazoa; Chordata; Mammalia; Artiodactyla; Cervidae. The record is from RefSeq and is a predicted model, not a curated record.
UUAGCAACUGAACAACAACAAAAUGGAAGGUGCGCCAGAGGAGCAAGGGCAGUGGGGGAAGGCAGUAAAAACAAGAAUAUAAAGAAAGGGCAUUAAGGAAUGGAAACAUGGUCAGCCCAGUCUGGUCAUCGUCUGGAGGAAUCUUUUUCACAGUUGAAUAUUAUUGAGGACCCUAAAAAGCUACUGCUUAUGUGUAUUAUAUCUACAGAUAUCUAUUGUUAGAAGAAAUUAAAACUGAGAAAUGCUUCAAGUGCAAACAUCACAAGCACACAUUGCGUUAGUCGUUGGAGAGCUGAUGUCAUCACAAGUCAUAUGUGGCCUCUGGGAAGCUCUACUAUCUGUUCUUGAGAGAAUGAAAGUGAAAAAGGCAGGGAGAAGGACUGGAGAGUCACAAUUUCCUGAUAAUAAGCAAUCAUGUCCCUACAUGAUGAAGCCUCCAUAAAAAUCUGUAAAGGGUUUGGAGAGCUUCUGGGUUGGUGAACACACCCACAGGCCCGGAGAGUGCUGCACCCCCACUCCACAGGGACAGAAGCUCCUGUGCCUGGCAACCUUCCAGACCUUGCCUUACCCUUACGUACCUCUUCAUCUGGCUGUUUAUUUCUUAUCUUUUCCUAUAUCCUUUACAAUAAACCAGUAAACUUA